AUGGAUUCAGAGAUACGGGCUAUCAUGGCGCAAUACAUGCCCUUGGAUAAUCAAGGAGAUAUUCCUGUACACCAUGCUCCCGGCAGCGACAUCUGAUGGAAGAAGAUAACAAUGUUCAAAUUCUGAGGUGCUUUAGUAGCUUAUUUAAUCAGCGAUUACAUGGUAGUUUUUAUCAUGUAGCCUGUCACACUUGUAUGUAAAUUUAAGUUAUAUAUAAGUGGCACGCAUAAUUCCAG
RNAcentral lists this unclassified non-coding RNA (236 nucleotides) under Hevea brasiliensis (rubber tree). The record is from RNAcentral. Lineage: Eukaryota; Viridiplantae; Streptophyta; Magnoliopsida; Malpighiales; Euphorbiaceae.